GGCCGCGUACUCAGGUGGAAGAGCGUUCCUCUGAUAAGGAGCCUGCCCUGAGCCUGUCGAAGGGAGAGAUUCACUGGUUCGAGUCCAGUCACGGUCA
This 97-nucleotide transfer RNA is filed under the name Anaerolineae bacterium. RNAcentral's name for it is "tRNA-OTHER". It matches the Rfam family "tRNA". Rfam says of the family: Transfer RNA (tRNA) molecules are approximately 80 nucleotides in length. Their secondary structure includes four short double-helical elements and three loops (D, anti-codon, and T loops). Further hydrogen bonds mediate the characteristic L-shaped molecular structure. tRNAs have two regions of fundamental functional importance: the anti-codon, which is responsible for specific mRNA codon recognition, and the 3' end, to which the tRNAs corresponding amino acid is attached (by aminoacyl-tRNA synthetases). tRNAs cope with the degeneracy of the genetic code in two manners: having more than one tRNA (with a specific anti-codon) for a particular amino acid; and 'wobble' base-pairing, i.e. permitting non-standard base-pairing at the 3rd anti-codon position. The record is from RNAcentral. Lineage: Bacteria; Bacillati; Chloroflexota; Anaerolineae.